AAGAGUUUGAUCAUGGCUCAGAUUGAACGCUGGCGGCAGGCCUAACACAUGCAAGUCGAGCGGUAGCACAGAAGAGCUUGCUCUUUGGGUGACGAGCGGCGGACGGGUGAGUAAUGUCUGGGAAACUGCCUGAUGGAGGGGGAUAACUACUGGAAACGGUAGCUAAUACCGCAUAACCUCGCAAGAGCAAAGAGGGGGACCUUCGGGCCUCUCGCCAUCAGAUGUGCCCAGAUGGGAUUAGCUAGUAGGUGAGGUAAUGGCUCACCUAGGCGACGAUCCCUAGCUGGUCUGAGAGGAUGACCAGCCACACUGGAACUGAGACACGGUCCAGACUCCUACGGGAGGCAGCAGUGGGGAAUAUUGCACAAUGGGCGCAAGCCUGAUGCAGCCAUGCCGCGUGUGUGAAGAAGGCCUUCGGGUUGUAAAGCACUUUCAGCGAGGAGGAAGGCGGUAAGGUUAAUAACCUUAUCGAUUGACGUUACUCGCAGAAGAAGCACCGGCUAACUCCGUGCCAGCAGCCGCGGUAAUACGGAGGGUGCAAGCGUUAAUCGGAAUGACUGGGCGUAAAGCGCACGCAGGCGGUCUGUUAAGUUGGAUGUGAAAUCCCCGGGCUUAACCUGGGAACUGCAUUCAAAACUGACAGGCUAGAGUCUUGUAGAGGGGGGUAGAAUUCCAGGUGUAGCGGUGAAAUGCGUAGAGAUCUGGAGGAAUACCGGUGGCGAAGGCGGCCCCCUGGACAAAGACUGACGCUCAGGUGCGAAAGCGUGGGGAGCAAACAGGAUUAGAUACCCUGGUAGUCCACGCUGUAAACGAUGUCGAUUUGGAGGUUGUGCCCUUGAGGCGUGGCUUCCGGAGCUAACGCGUUAAAUCGACCGCCUGGGGAGUACGGCCGCAAGGUUAAAACUCAAAUGAAUUGACGGGGGCCCGCACAAGCGGUGGAGCAUGUGGUUUAAUUCGAUGCAACGCGAAGAACCUUACCUACUCUUGACAUCCAGAGAAUUUGCUAGAGAUACCUGAGUGCCUUCGGGAACUCUGAGACAGGUGCUGCAUGGCUGUCGUCAGCUCGUGUUGUGAAAUGUUGGGUUAAGUCCCGCAACGAGCGCAACCCUUAUCCUUUGUUGCCAGCGAUUCGGUCGGGAACUCAAAGGAGACUGCCGGUGAUAAACCGGAGGAAGGUGGGGAUGACGUCAAGUCAUCAUGGCCCUUACGAGUAGGGCUACACACGUGCUACAAUGGCGUAUACAAAGAGAAGCGACCUCGCGAGAGCAAGCGGACCUCAUAAAGUACGUCGUAGUCCGGAUUGGAGUCUGCAACUCGACUCCAUGAAGUCGGAAUCGCUAGUAAUCGUAGAUCAGAAUGCUACGGUGAAUACGUUCCCGGGCCUUGUACACACCGCCCGUCACACCAUGGGAGUGGGUUGCAAAAGAAGUAGGUAGCUUAACCUUCGGGAGGGCGCUUACCACUUUGUGAUUCAUGACUGGGGUGAAGUCGUAACAAGGUAACCGUAGGGGAACCUGCGGUUGGAUCACCUCCUUA
This 1536-nucleotide ribosomal RNA is filed under the name Pectobacterium carotovorum subsp. carotovorum. RNAcentral describes it as "16S ribosomal RNA". It matches the Rfam family "Bacterial small subunit ribosomal RNA". The record is from RNAcentral. Lineage: Bacteria; Pseudomonadati; Pseudomonadota; Gammaproteobacteria; Enterobacterales; Pectobacteriaceae.